Molecule: ribosomal RNA, 599 nt
Filed under: Termitomyces sp. Group2
Lineage: Eukaryota; Fungi; Basidiomycota; Agaricomycetes; Agaricales; Lyophyllaceae
Description: eukaryotic LSU rRNA
Rfam family: Eukaryotic large subunit ribosomal RNA
Source: RNAcentral
UUGACCUCAAAUCAGGUAGGGCUACCCGCUGAACUUAAGCAUAUCAAUAAGCGGAGGAAAAGAAACUAACAAGGAUUCCCCUAGUAACUGCGAGUGAAGCGGGAAAAGCUCAAAUUUAAAAUCUGGUAGUCUUCGGCUGCCCGAGUUGUAAUCUAGAGAAGCAUUAUCUGCGCUGGACCGUGUACAAGUGUCCUGGAAUGGACCAUCAUAGAGGGUGAGAAUCCCGUCUUUGACACGGACUCCCAGGGCUUUGUGAUGUGCUCUCAAAGAGUCGAGUUGUUUGGGAAUGCAGCUCUAAAUGGGUGGUAAAUUCCAUCUAAAGCUAAAUAUUGGCGAGAGACCGAUAGCGAACAAGUACCGUGAGGGAAAGAUGAAAAGAACUUUGGAAAGAGAGUUAAACAGUACGUGAAAUUGCUGAAAGGGAAACGCUUGAAGUCAGUCGCGUUGGCUGGGGAUCAACCUUGCUUUUUUGCUUGGCUUACUUCCCAGUUGACGGGUCAGCAUCAGUUUUGACCGGUGGAUAAAGGCUAGGGGAAUGUGGCACCCUCGGGUGUGUUAUAGCCCUUGGUCAUAUGCAUUGGUUGGGACUGAGGAACUCA